AUGGAGGAGGAUGACACGCUGGAUGGGUUCGCCGGCAAGCUCGGUGGCAUGGUGGCGUGCUUUGCGGGGCUUGGAUCGACGCUGGAAGAUACAACAUUGGUGAAGAAGCUGCUCGACUCCGUGUCGGACCUUCUAUAUGCGGCGGUGGCCGGAAUCGAGCAGUUCUGUGACGUCUCCACCAUGGCGUUCGAGGAGGCCCUGGGUUGGCUGAAGGCUUUUGACGAGCGGCUACGGCAAUGCGGGUAG
RNAcentral lists this ribosomal RNA (246 nucleotides) under Triticum aestivum (bread wheat). Its description in RNAcentral is "partial small subunit ribosomal RNA". The record is from RNAcentral. Lineage: Eukaryota; Viridiplantae; Streptophyta; Magnoliopsida; Poales; Poaceae.